RNAcentral lists this ribosomal RNA (464 nucleotides) under uncultured bacterium. RNAcentral describes it as "partial 16S ribosomal RNA". It matches the Rfam family "Bacterial small subunit ribosomal RNA", at positions 339 to 795 of the family's 1533-position model. The record is from RNAcentral.
CUACGGGCCGCAGCAGUGGGGAAUAUUGCACAAUGGGCGCAAGCCUGAUGCAGCCAUGCCGCGUGUAUGAAGAAGGCCUUCGGGUUGUAAAGUACUUUCAGCGGGGAGGAAGGGAGUAAAGUUAAUACCUUUGCUCAUUGACGUUACCCGCGGAAGAAGCACCGGCUAACUCCGUGCCAGCAGCCGCGGUAAUACGGAGGGUGCAAGCGUUAAUCGGAAUUACUGGGCGUAAAGCGCACGCAGGCGGGUUGUUAAGUCAGAUGUGAAAUCCCCGGGCUCAACCUGGGAACUGCAUCUGAUACUGGCAAGCUUGAGUCUCGUAGAGGGGGGUAGAAUUCCAGGUGUAGCGGUGAAAUGCGUAGAGAUCUGGAGGAAUACCGGUGGCGAAGGCGGCCCCCUGGACGAAGACUGACGCUCAGGUGCGAAAGCGUGGGGAGCAAACAGGAUUAGAUACCCCUGUAGUC